UUUUGAGCCUUUAGGUCCUUCAGAUUAUUUCAGUCUGUGCAACCGGGCAGCCCUCCCAUAUUUCUCCAUUCCAAAACUUAUGGAGGCAGGAUUUGCAAUAAGUGGGUGCUUCCACCAAGCUACCCAGGACCUUUUAUGUCUAUUAUGUUACAUGUGGUUGGAACCGUUUUUCACAGAGAACUCUGGAGUAUGAACACUUGGCUUCCAAGACUUCUGAACAUGCUAUCUAGAAGAGAGAUGGUAUUAAUAUUCUGUCAGUUUACACAGCUUGGAAUAUCACAUUUGUCAACAACUAAGCACACGAGUCCCGCUAGCACAAGCAGACCAUGAUGUCACCUGUCCCUGGGUUGGUCCUCAUGAACUUUGUUCCGAAGGACGUAACGGCAAAUCUUGUUAAGAUUUUUGUCUGUCGUGUGAAGGAAAAAAAAACAAAGAGAGAGAGAGAGAAAAGGAGGAUAAAUUAUGUGGCCAAUCACACAGGUUUAAUAUUAUGGGAUUCUAGGAUAUUAUUUCUGAUCCACUGUUAAGUUUGUGGUUGCUGGUGCUCACGGAUGUAUUUGUACUCAUUUGGUCCAACUUUCCCGGUUUACCGAAAAAAAGAAACAGAGAUAAAAAAUGAAGCUCGUAUUCUUGA
Molecule: non-coding RNA, 634 nt
Organism: Elaeis guineensis (African oil palm)
Lineage: Eukaryota; Viridiplantae; Streptophyta; Magnoliopsida; Arecales; Arecaceae
Source: RefSeq, a predicted model, not a curated record